AUGGCACAUAGAGCGACAGCAAGCAUCUUUCCCAAGUUCACACAGUCGGCAAGUGCUCACACUGAUAUUUGAACCCAGACCAUGCCUGGCUCAGAGUAGAAACUCAAUAAAUAUUUGUUGCAAGAAUGAAGGGUUGGGUUUUGUUGGAAAAAGGCCUGAUUGUGGACUGAUUGGCUGACUGUCAAGCCUCGCAGUGCAUCGAGCAUCAGCGCUACGAAGUAAGCUGCGAGUCGUUUUCCAAGCCGGCAGCUGCCUGUCUCCUUUGAAGAGUCUUGGAAGCAGCCACCAUCCAUCAUUCGCUUGGCAUGACUGUGAAGAUGGCAAUGACGGCUGCAGUCCAAGCCCUAGUGGGCAGAUGAGGAGCAGCCCCUCUCCUUAAAAAUAAAGCCGGAUUCCUAACAUUCUCUUCAACCCACGGCUGUGCAGGGCAGAGUCUCAACACAGGAAUUGGAACAUAACAAAUCUGCCGACUGCCAGCUUUGAUCUCACAAGGAUGGAGUUGGGGAGGUGAAGAGAAAGUAAAUGCUCUCUCGACUUUCCAAAGGAAAACAAUUUUCUUUCUUGGUAACUGCAAUUACUUGAAAACCAUGUCAAAACAAUAAUGUGCCUCCAAUAGUCUCCCACUCUCUCUCUCUCUCUCUCUCUCUCUCUCUCUCUCCCCCCUCUCCUCCUCCUCCCUGCUUCCUCUACCUUCUUCUCUUCCUUCUGCCUCCUUCGUUUUGCCCUGGUAAUAAGGACCAUGGACAGAGACACAUAAGCUCCGCCCACACGCCCUUAGCUGACCUAUGCUGGGAAAGAAGGGCAGUGGUCGAUCAAUACCCAAGAUCAAGUGAGCUUAGCUCCUCACGUGAGUAUUUCAGAAGGCAUUGCUUUUUGGUUGCAUUUCCUUGUAAGUUGGCGAGCUGCAUACUGAUGGACAUUCUUGAGAAGCUUGGAGGGCACUCAUCUCUCAGGGAUGCCCUAGAAAGGUUGUCUGCACUAGUGAGAUUUGCUGCUCAUUCCAAUUAAGGUCCUUCUAACUCCAAACCUCUUUGAAUAAUAAAUAGAUAAUGAGACUGAGAAAAAUAAAGAAUAUGUCAUUAACAAAGCCGCAGACCACAGUUCAUUGGCAAUGUUGGGGCCAGUUAGCUCUAUGAUUGCUUGGACAACUGUGUCUGUACCUAAAACACCCAGUUUUAGGUCAUAUUCCCACUGUCUGAUCACUGAACAGUCUGGGUGAGAGGUCACCAGAUUCCAGCUCACAUAGCUAAAUAAGACCUUUUUGUAGGUUCUCUUCACUCUCAUUUAAUUACAGAAACAAUUGUUUGAACAGAUUAAUAUAUCAAUUUAGCAGAAGAAUAACUGUACAAAUGCAAAGCCCUUCCCAGGCCAGGAUAAUAAGAAUGCAGCUCUCACCUCUGCCUUAAUCAAUCUUGUCUUAUUUUAAGCUCACAUUUGUGAUCUAUUUGGGGUUCAUGUCUCUGUUAUUCAUGUCUUUAGAAAUCUUGUCUUGCGGAUGUGAUGGGCAGUAACCAAAAUAGUAUCUACCCGAUGAGACUCUCAGAUCCUCGAGGGCAGAGUAUUUACCUCACUUGCCUGUAUACUGUCAAACACUUAGUAAUUGUUCAGAAAAUAUAGAAUGGAUACAUUAAUAACGAAUGAAUGUUAAAAAGGAAGUUGAAUUUAAGCCUAGUGAGGGUAACACUUUAUGUCUUUUUUUUUCCUGUUGAAAACCCAACAUCUAGAACAAUGCUCAGUACAUAGAUGAUGAUCACUAACUACUUGUUUAUUGUAUGUGUGAGUGUGGAAUGAGUGAAUAAGAGAACAAAGGCUCUUUUCUUUGCUAACUCUGGAAGUUAGAGAAAGUAAUUUAUUCAUUUUUUAAUAGAUGAGGAAAUGAAGUCUCAGAAGAAUCAAUUUAUGAGAAGUCGCUUGGUGAAGUGUAGAAUGAUAUACAAAUACAUAUCCAUUAUUAAUUGACACAAUAAUGCUGUGAAACCACCACACACUUCAGCAGUGUAUGGUAAUAAAUAUUUAUGGCUCAGGUAAGCUGGGCUAGGCUGGAUGGUUCUUCUGGUCUCAGCUGGACUUUCCCUUUCUGAGCCUCACUUUACUCAUCUGUAAAAUGGGCAUGACAGUUGCAGAGCCCAUUUUGUGAAGAUUAAAUAAGGCAAUCUAGGACAUGGGCUUAGUCUUUAUGUCCUCAAAUACUGAGGGCUGGCCAGGACUUGAGGGACAUAAUGGAGACAAAAAUAGACACGAUUCUUAUUUCUGUUGGAAGCAGGAUGGUGGGGGUGAGGGUAUAGAUAGACAUCAUACAAAGAAAGGUGGAACUGAGCUGUAAUUGCUGCAGUGGAGGGAGGGUGCAUGUUGUUCUCUGACAGUUUCCAGUGAUAAAUUUAACCUCAUAAGGGAAGUCAGAGAAUUCUUUCCUGAAGUGUCACUCUUAGGCUGACAUCUGAAGAAGUGACACCUAGUAGGCACUCAAUAAACGUUAAUUACCAUCAUUAUCCCUUUCUUCCUCACCACCAGAGGCCAACUUAUGAGCAGGAAAGGGCAGGAUUUAGCAUUUGAGCACCAGCUAUAUGGCAGGCAAUUUUCACAUUAUUAUCUCAUUUAACCAUCACAACAGUCCCCCGGGAAGUAGGUAGGAUUGUUAUUCUUAGCUGACACACUAAGUCUCAGAUAGGUUCAAGCAUUUUUAGAGGAACUGACAACACUGGGGUUAAAAUCCAGGUCUUUGGGACUCCAAAGUUCUCUUCCCCUGUAGACACAGCAUGCAGUUUACACCUUCGUGGUGUGCCUGAUGGACAGUGGGAGCCUCCACUGAAUCUCAGAACACUAUCUGCAAACUCCUGUCUUUCCAAAGGUUGAGCACUGCCUGGAAUGUCACCAUUAGCUUGCCAGCUCUUUGGUCCUCUUUUUGGUAGGGUCCAUUUUUUGCCUAUUUUAUGACAGCCAAGAAAAUAAAGCAGUUUCCCAUGAGUGGAGACACAUUUAAGAUCUUAAGCAAAGGAAGACCUGAAUUUUGAGAAAGAAGAGAAAUUUGGGAGGAGAUACAGUAAAAGGCAAAAUGAAGAAGAUACACAGACCCCUCCCUCUCCCCCAGAAGAUUAGAGAGUCCUGGGGACCAUUUAAUUCAACCCAGUCAUUUAACGACUGAGAAACCUGAGGCUCAGAGAGGGUUAGGUAUUUGCCCAAAGGCAAACAGCAUAGGACGUACAGAGUUAGGGACUUAUUCCAGAAAUUCUUAACUGCUUUUGUGCUUUUUUUCCCCUCUGCAAACUCCCUCCAGUUUGGGGGGUGGCUUAAAAUCUCCUCAAGGAAGGCAGCAGAUUUAUGGGUUAAUAAACAUUUACAAUGAGCUCCUGAAAAAACAGACUCAGGUAGACAGGAAUUAUUCAUUCAAAUUAACUAUAAAUUAAGAUCAACCUAAUUUAGGCCUAUUAAAAUGGAAAGCAUAUUAUCUCUCAUUCAAAGGAAUUUGUAUUUGAUGCAAAUAGAACAAGUUCCUAAACUUUAGAAAUGUUCUUGGAUUUUUCAUCUCCGUAGUUAACCAACGAAGAAUGGGUCCCCCAUUUAAAAACAGGGGAACAUAAGGAACAAUAAUUAGUUAUGUAAAUAAUGUGGCAUUCUUGUUUAUAAUUAGUUCAAGAAUAAAAUAAAAUUCACGCAUGUCACAGGACUAAUUUUCGUAUGCAAAUGAACAAUCAAAAUUAUAAAUGGUAAUAAUGCAGUUUGGGAGAUGUGACAUUCUCAAUUUAUUAGCAGGGGUGCCAGUUACAGCUGAUGAUGGCUGACGUUGGGAGAUUUCAAAGGUGCCUGGGUCUGGAAAAUUCUCACCCAUCAAGAGGAGAAAAUCUAACUAAAAUAUUUUCACCCAUUUUAUGUCACUGAUGGCUGCAAAGUGAACCCAGGGCGCCUCUGUGGCUGGAGAGACAGGUGCUGCACCAGGGAGACAGGAGUCCAAGUGAAUUUUUGAAAAGAACGCUCUGAAAUUUGGCUGGUGAAAAAAGCAAAGACCAGGCAUUGCAACCUGGGCUCUGACCUCAACAACGUGUGUCACCUUGGGCAGGCCCCCUUUGCUGCCUCCUAAUUUCCCCAUCUAGGGUGGAAGUUUUAUUAAAGAGGAGGAGGGAGUUUUGAAAUCAAACUGACUUGGAAUCUUGGUUCUACCACUUGCUAACUGCAGGGCUUUCCUUAACCUUUCUACCUUACCUAUCUGGACUCAUGUAGCCUCAUCUGGUAAGUGACAGCGAUAUUCUAUAUCUUUAGGCAGUGCCAAAUUACCUUAAAGAAGGGCUAAGCACAUGUUUGGGGCACUAGAAAAGUAGAGUACCAGGGGAAGAAAAAGUGUGAGAUAAUCAGGAGGUCUAGAAUCAAAAGCUGCUUAAAUUUUGGCAUUAUGAGAGCGUCGUGUCAUUCUGAAAAAUAAUUUAAAAGUACUUAAUAUAUUUAAUUGAAAAUUAUAUAUGGAAUGUAUGGGUGUGCAUUAUAUAUAGAAUAUGCUUUGCUCCUUGGAAUGCUGUGAGAUUGAAUGCAAUUAUACAUAUAAAAUAAUUAACACAGUGCCUAGAAGUUGGAAGAACUCUGUAAAUAGUUGUAGCAGCUACUGUUGGUAAAUGAGUAAGCUACAUUCCAAAAUAUCUGCAGUCCUUUUUUAAGCCCCAGUGUUCUAGGAUUCUGCCUGGAGGGAGGAUGCUUAAUUUCAGAUAAUAGCUGCAUCAGGACCAACAUGGGCCAAUGGGGAUUUCCAAAGAAGGAUGGUCCAAAGCACGCUGGGAAAGUUGGCAGGAUUUGCCCUAAGCAUCACUGAAGUUGAUGAUAUGAUGAGACACAGCUCAUCUGGUCUCAAACUAUCUCCCCCAGCAGUCAUGGUACCCAACAUUUUGCAACUAGAAAGAAGCCCAUAUCUGCUAACUCACCAAGACUAGAAACCAUUCUUGAUGUCACUAUGAUGUACAUCAUUUUACCUAAGAUUUACUUAUCUACCUAUAUCCAUCCAUCCAUCCAUCCAUACAUCCAUCCAUCCAUCCAUCCAUCCAUCCAACAUCAGGAACCUUCUGAAGGCUAACUGCACCAUAUGGUGGAUAUGAUGGAUAGAUUUUAGUCCUCUUUCGUUGUUGGCACUCCAAAUUUGGGAUGGGAAUUGUCAUUGAGCAGCUAUUCUGUGCUAUCUAGACGCUUUAGACACAUUAUCCCACUUAAUCCUAAUGACGGCACUAAGAGCUAUAGAUAACAAUGUUUAUAAGGUAAUAAUAGCUACGAUUUAUUGAGUGUUACUAUGUACUGGCCACUGUGCUUAGCCUUUUAUAUGAGAUAUCACAUUUAAUGUCCCCAACAGUUUUGAGAAGAACUCUUAUUUCUUUGAUUUACCAUUAUUGCCCAGCUUCAGAAAGGUUAAGUGACUAGCCCAAGGUCACACGGCACAUUAGAGGUCAAAGCAAGCCUCUUUCCCUGGUCUUUGUAAUUCCAGGUUGGUCACUGUCUGCUUCACUGUGCCUCUAGCUAACUGAUUUUCUCUUGGAGGGAGGCAUGCGGGCUCCCAACCUCACUAGACAAUCAUGGGAGGAGGAAAGACAAGGGCUUUCUCACAGAGUUAACUCUCCACUCCUUGCCCCCUGGGGAAGGGCACCCCCUCCUGAGCAUCCUGACAGGUCAGCCUGCACUCAAAGUAGCCUUUCGGGGGGCCCUUGAUGGCUCCCAGAUGGGAACGCACACAGCUGUCAGGUGCUUCCGAGAGUCUCUGGAUCCUAAGAGCACUGGCGGUGUGCCUGUAGGAUUAAUUGCUUCUCUGGCUUCCAGCAGGGAAGCGGGGUGUGGUAACAUCUUGGCUUGGUUAAGGAUGAAGGGGCAGGCACACAGGUGGCAGAGAGCAUGCCUCUGUAGCACAGGAUCAGAGGAAACUAUGUGGCUGAGAACAGCUCCUGGUAGGUAGGGAAGCCCAUGAGGACCUCACUUCCCCUAGAAGGAAGAUGUCAGAAGCUGAUGUCCUUUCCCCCUGUGCAGUUCUAAAAUUAUGUAACUGGAAGAGGUGCCACAGGAAAACCUGUUUCUAUCAUCCUUAUUCGUUCUGUGUGGUCUUCCUCCUUGUCUUUCUUACAAUUCUUCUUCCACAGUUAAUUUUUUUCAGGCACCUUCUAUAUCUCAUGCUCUGGAAAUACCAAGAUGAACCAUGCAGACCCUGACCCCAUGGAGUUGAGAGUCUGGUGGUGGAAGACAGACAUCAUCAAACGCUGGCACAAAUAAAGGCACAUUUAUUUACUUGAGGGGUUACAUGUUAAGUCACGGAGGCACAGAUUCUAGAGGAGCCAGUAGCAGGGCCUGAGCUUGGUCCAGGGUUGGCCAGGAAGCUCUUUCCUGCAGAAGUAAUGCUUGCACUCAGGACCAAAAGAUGACCAGGUGAAGAGUCACCUCACUCCUUGAAACCUCAGUUUCCUUCUUUGUAAAGUGGGAUGAUAGUAACACCUACAUUCCAGGAUAUUUGUGAGGAUAAACUGAGAUGACACAGGUGAAAAUGAGUAGUACGGAGUCUGGUACAUAGUCAGUGCCCAUCGUAUCAUGGCUUUGGCCAUAGUCCCUCGAUGUGAAGUGAAGUUCCCAUAGAUUGGAAGGCCUAUCGUUGACUUAGAAACUGCUGCCCAAGGGACAAAGAAGAAUGCAAGCCCACUAUGUGAAAUGGAAGCACACAGAAAAGGAAGGGCCUCACUCUGCUCUCUCUCUUCUGUGUGUGUGUGUGUGUGUGUGUGUGUGUGUGUGUGUGUGUGUAUGAUGAGAAGUUUGCACAGAGAAGCUGGUGUUUAGGCCAGGUCCUGAAUGGUAGAUAGCAGUUUACAAGAGAAAAGGGGGAGGAAGGGUGUCAGAGAUAAAAGGAACAUCAAUGCAAAGUGAUACAAGGAUGAGAAUGAGUGUCAUCCGCCUUGUCAGAUGCCUGGGGAAAUUCCAAUGGGCACAUGGAACAGAUCCCCAAACAAAACAACCUUUAAUAACACAAUACUAUUACUCCUAAUGGCAAUAACGGCAAAAGCAAUAAUCACAAUGACCACAAUAGCAACAGCCGUUACCAUGCAUUGACAGGUUACUCUCUUUCAGGCACUGUACAUGGGUAACUUCACCUGAAAUGCUGAAAAUAAAUCUUGCUCAUUCUUUCCUGGGAUAUAGUGAAUGACUUCAUGCCCUACAUUGUAUGGGCUACCCACAUAGGUGAGGAAUUGAGGAUACAGCCAUGGAGGAUUUUUCUGUUAAACCUCAGAAGGGAUGCUCUCAAUUUCUGCAAGGCUCUCCUGGGCAACAUGAACGGUCCAGACAAGUUCAUUCAUUUUUUUGUUUUUCUGGAGGGUUAAAUGGGGGAUAGAGUAUUCAGGAGGUAGGUUUAGCUCAGUCCAAGGAUGGCUACAAAGAGCUGUGGUAGGUAGUGCUCUGACAAAGAGUUCCCUGUCGUGGGGAUAUUCAAGUGUAACUCAGUUAAUUUCUUGUUGGGGAUGUUCUGAGCAUGGUCAGAACAAAGAGAAAGGGAAAUUCAGGGGGAAUUGGUCUAGAAGAUCCCUUCAAUUCCAGGAUGCUGUGGUUUCAGGAAGGCAGGAAUGAUCUACCAUGAAAGGUUUUUACAACAGUAGGAAACAUCAUCAUCUUGGCUUUGCCUGUCUCCAGGAGGCUUGAAUGUGAUUUGCAUAACCACAGGGGGAUGGAUGUCUUGAUCUUUCACAGUUUUUUUCCAGCCCUUAGAAUCAUUCUGGUCUUUGCUUGCAACCUCCUUUAGAACCAUAUCCUGAGCCACCUCCAUCCUUCUCCCAAAUUAUUGUAACAACUUCUGAGUAGGUCCCCUAGCACUCUAUAAUCUACCCUCCACACAGAAGCAAAAGCUAUCAUAUAAAAUAAAAAUCGGAUAUAUUUUCCCCCUACAGUUGUAACUUAUGACCAUAGCCGUCCCCAACCCAACUGGUUCUCCCAUUCCACCUCCCCUCACCUAAUGUGCACAAACCACUCUCCCUUCUUUUCUGACUCACAAACAUUCAGGGCUUUUGCCUUUCCUCUGUCUGAGCCCUCUUCCCCUAGGACUUUGCAAGGCCAGUUUUUUUCUCAUCGUUAAAUUCCCAGCUCAACUGUCACCCCAGACAGGGCUCUCUGACCAGUCUCCAGUCACUCCAUCCGGACGACCCUUUUAAUUUUCCUUUCAGCAUUUAUCUAGCUGGGCCUGGUGAUGUGUGUCUGUAGUUUCAGCCACUCGGGAGGCUGAGGAAGGAGGAUUGCUGGAGCCCAGGAGUUCAAGGCUGCAGUGAGCUGUGAUCAUCACUUUGCUCCAGUCUGGAUGACAGAGCGAGACCCUGUCUCUAAAACAUAAAUAAAUAGGCCAGGUUUGGUGGCUCAUGCCUGUAAUCCCAGCACUUUUGGAGGCUGAAGCCAGUGGAUUGUUUGAGCCCAGGAAUUUGAGACCAGCCUGGACAACAGGUGAAACCCUGUUUCUAGGAAAAGCAAAAAUUAGCCAGGCAUAGUGGUACAUACCUGUGGUCCCAGAUACUCAGGAGGCUGAUGUGAAAGGACCACCUGAGCCUGGGAAGUUGAGGCUGCAGUGAGCUGAGACUGCUCCACUGAACUCUAGCCUGGGCGGCAGAGUGAGACCCUGUCUCUAAAUACAUAAAUAAAAUAAGUAAAGCACUUUUCAGUAUCUUUCUGGAAUUCUUAUCUAUUUGUUAACAUAUGUAUGGUCUUUUUCUGCUGCUGAGAGGUGAAGCCAGCUGGACUUCCUGGCUCGAGUAGGGACUUGGAGAACUUUUCUGUCUAGUUAGAGGUUUGUAAAUGCACCAAUCAGCGCUUUGUGUCUAGCCAAAGGAUUGUAAAUGCACCAAUCAGCAACUCUGUAAAAUGGACCAAUCAGCACUCUGUAAAAUGGACCAAUCAGCACUCUGUAAAAUUGACCAAUCAGCAGGAUGUGGGAGGGGACAAAUAAGGAAAUAAAAGCUGACCACCCCAGCCAGCGGGGGCGACGUGGUGGGGUCCAUUUGUAGGUUGUGGAGGAUUUGAUCUUUUGCUCUUGGAAAUAAAUCUUGCUGCUGCGCGCGCUCUCUCUCUGGGUGCAUGCUGCUUUUAAGAGCUGUGAUACUCACCAGGAAGGUCCGUGGUUUCAUUCUGGAAGUCAGCGAGACCAAGAACCCACCAGAAGGAACCAACUACAGACACACUGCUAUAUGGUCCAGCUAUGUACAAACUGAAUCAAGAUUCUAUGUACAUCAGAAUCAAGAGAGAGUGAGUUCUUGACAUCACGGAGCGGUCUACAUUCUAGUUCAUGCGGUGGACCUGCUGGGUGGCCUCAGAGGUACCUUUCAAAUGCUGGCCCAGAAAGGUGAGGCAAGGAGGGGACCUGGCCUCCAUCUCUGUGAAUCCCACAGCCCUCCUCCUGAGAUCUGCAGGGGUAGCAUGAAAUAUUUAAAAGCUCAAAUUGAAAUCUUGUUAGAGCCAGGUCUUGUAAAGCCAAGUUCUCCAACCCCAGAACAUCAGUAUCUGUUUGCUGGUGUCAUUUAGGGACCCCGGCUUUCCAAACCAUUGACUGAAACUUUCUGUCAAUCCAACACUUUUAGGGUAAUUUAACUUAAUAAUACCUUUGUCGGCACUGGCGCCUGUAUCUGAAGGGUGAUUACCAUAGAAGUUAUUUUAGGUUGUUUAAUGGAAUGUAGUAAAUUCUCAAUUGACAGGGCAGAUCCUCAAAAUGGCUUUUCAAAGUGUUUACCUUUCAAAGCUUUCUCCCUCACUUUACCGAACUUACUACUUUGAGCCAGCGAAGACUUCAUAAAUUAUUAGCAAUUGUUCUCCCCCCUGUGUUCACAUGCAUCAUUAAUUCUUUGUAAAAAGUUCAAACUGUCCGGGGCUUAAUUGUUAUCACUUGGAGAACGGCUAGAAAUGGAUGCAGGCUGUAUUAUUUCUGUCAAAAAUUUUGACUUAUUGCUCUUGAUAUUUUACCCAUCACAUCACAUCCUCGGUACAGGAGAGAGGAAAAAGGAGAGGGGGAGGAGAAAGAACAUAAAUGCGUUUUCUUGAAACAAAACAAAUAUAAUAAUACAUAUAUUUCUGAGGAGAAAAGUCAAGGAUUCAUCUGACAAAAUAAUAGUUUUAAUCCUCCAAAGAGAGAGGAGGAGGGCAGCAUUAGGGGGAAAUUUCUAUUGUAAAUUCUAUUGCUUCACACUGUACUUUUAUUCUAAGUUUUGAAGGUUGUAUAAUUCUAGGAAUCUAAUGUUUAACGAUUCUGAGAUAUUGAAAUUUUAUGAGUCCAAAUUCCCAAGGUGUUUGAUUUUAAGGAUAAAUUAAUCCCACCGUCCAGUAUUCAGGACUGCUAAAAAGUAUAGUAGAAUUAGAAAGAUAUUGACAAUAACCACAGAAAUAGCUAAGCUUUGUUGAGACCUUAACCAUAUGCAGGCACUGUGCUGAGUGCUUCAUGUGCAGCACCUUAUUUUAUUUUAUUUUAUUUUAUUUUAUUUUUUUGCUUUUGCUAAUUUUUUAAAAUUGUACUUUAAGUUCUGGGGUACAUGUGCAGAACGCGCAGGUUUGUUACAUAGGUAUACACAUGCCAGGGUGGUUUGCUGCACCCAUCAACCUGUCAUCUACAUUAGGUAUUUCUCCUAAUGCUGUCCCUCCCCUAGCCCCUCAUCCCCCAACAGGCCCCAGUGUGUGAUGUUCCCCUCCCUGUGUCCAUGUAUUCUCUUUGUUCAAUGCCCACUUAUGAGUGAGAACAUGCGGUGUUUGGUUUUCUGUUCUUGUGUUAGUUUGUUGAGAAUGAUUGUUUCCAGGUUCAUCCAUGUCCCUGUGAUCCCAUUACUGGGUAUGUGUCCAAAAGAUUAUAAAUCAUUCUACUAUAAAGACACAUGCACACGUAUGUUUAUUGCAGCACUGUUCACAGUAGCAAAGACUUGGAACCAACCCAAAUGCCCAUCAAUGAUAGACUGGAUAAAGAAAAUGUGGCACAUAUACAUGAUGGAAUACUAUGUAGCAGCACCUUAUUUAAUCUUCAUGUCACUGUAAAGUAGGUACUGUUAUUAACCCCUUAUAUAGCUGGGAAAACUGAGGCACAGAGAGGGUAAGUAACUUACUCAGGGACACACAGCUGGUAAAAAGCAGAGUUAAACUCUGACUUCAGGCCCUGUGUGUGUAGAACUUAACGUAUAUUGUGCCCCAUCUCAAGACACUGCUCUUUUGCCCCACCUGGCAUGCUGUGGAUCAGUGUAGAAGUGAUCCACAUUGGUAUAUGAGUCUAUUGUCAGACUACCCCUGAGGCAACCCAGCCCUGACCUGCUUUUUGUUUGUGUUGACGUUGCUCAUCCAGUCCAGCAGAUCACCCUUUCCCAUACAUUCUACAAGGUCAUCUCCUCCAAGAAGGCUUCAGUCCUGCCGCACCAUCCUUUGAAUCCUCACAACAGUUGGUACCAGGGAAAGGGAUAAUGAGGCAGUCUAGUAGGCUGGCCAAAAGCAUGGACUAUGGGGUCAGAUCCCUUCGGUUGGGAUCUUACUUCUGCCAGUAAAUCCAUGCGCUAAGCUUCAGUUAGGCAAGCCAUUUCAGCCUCAGCUUUCACAUCUGUAAAAUGGAUAUAACCACCCCUGCCUCACAGAACUGUUGUGAAGAGGAAGGGAGGUGCUCCAAGGGAGCUCUGUUUACUGCUUCACAACAGUCAGUGCUGAAUACAUGUUGGCUGUUGUUCUCUCUUGUCUUGUAGUGAUCUCGUACUGAGAGUUUUGUACAUUAAAGUAUAAGAGUCAGUAUUUUUUUUCCUAGUCAACAUUUAUUUUCAAUGAGAUUUGGAAAUUUCCUUACCAAAUAAUUCAAGGUGAAAGUAUAUUAAACUAUAUUUUUAAAAAUUGUAUUUUUGACAAGUGACCAUUAUAUAUAUUUAUGAGGUACAAUGAGAUGUUUUGAUUAUGUUUAUCUUGUGCAAUGAUUAAAUCAAGCUAAUUAACACAUCACCUCAUUUACUUAUCAUUUUUUGUGGUGAAAGCAUUUAAAAUCUUGUUUUUUUAGCAAUUUUGAAAUUAUAUAUUGCAUUAUUGUUUAUUAUUGUCAUCAUUCUGUACAAUAGGUCACUGAAGCUUAUUCCUUCUGUCAGCUGAAACUUUGUACCCUUUGAUCACUCUCUCCUCUUUCUCUACCCACCUGCUUCCCCCAGCCUCUGGUAACCACCAUUCUACGCUCUCAACUUCUUUAGAUUUCACAUAUAACUGAGAUCAUGCAGUGUGUGUCUUUCUGUGUCUGGCUUAUUUCACUUGGCCUAAUGUUCUCCAGGUUCACUGAAGCAAAUGACAGGAUUUCCCUCAUUGUAAAGGCUAAGUUGUAUUCCAUUGUGUACAUACACCACAUUUUUUUAAUCCAUUCAUCUGAUGUUGGACAUUAAGGUUGCUUCCAUAUCUUAACUAUUGUGAAUUACAUUUCAAUGAACAUAGGAGUGGAAAUAUCUCUUGGGCAUAGGAUUUCAAUUCCUUUGGAUAUACACCCCACAUGGUAAUCCUAUUUUUAGUUUUCUGAGGAACUCCCAUACUGUUUUCCAUAAUGGCUGUAUUAAUUUACUUUCCCACCAACAGUGCACAAGGGUUCACUUUUUCCAUACCCACAUCAACUUAUUAUGUCUUUUUGAUAAUAGUAUUCUAACAAGUUGUGAUGAUAUAUCAUUGUGGUUUUAAUUUGCAUUUCCCUGAUGAUUAGCGAUGACCAGCACUUUUUAAUUCCUCAUUUGUCCAUUCGUAGAUCUUCUUCUGAGAAGUGUCUAUUUAGGUCCUUAGCUAAUUUUUUGAUUGGGUUAUUUAUUUUCUUGUUAUUGAGUUGUGUUUCUUAUAUAUUUUUUAUGUUAGCUCCUUAUCUGAUGUAUGGUUUGCAGAUAUUUUUUCCCAGUCCUUGAGUUGUGUCUUUACUCUAUCAGUCAUUUCCUUUGCUGUGCAGAAACUUUUUAGUUUGAUGUAACUUCAUUUGUUUGUUUUUGCUUUUGUUGCCCAUGCUUUUGGAAUCAUACCUAAGAAAUAUUUGCCCAGACCAAUAUUCUGGAGCAUUUCUCCUAUGUCCCCUCAUAGAUUCACAGACUCAGGUCUCAUGUUUAAGUCUUUAAUCCAUCUUGAGUUGAUUUUUGUAUAUGGUGUGAGGUAGGGUACAAUUUCACUCUAAUGCUUGUUGACAUCCAGUUUUCCCAACACCAUUAAUUGAAGAAGCUAUCUUUUCCCCAUUGUGUGUUCUUGGUGCUUUUGUCAAAACUCAGUAGACCAUAAAUGUGUGGGUUCACUUCUGAACUCUGUUCUAUUCUGUUGGUCAAUGUGUCUGUUUAUAUGCCAAUGCCAUGCUUUGAUUACUAUAGCUAUAUAAUAGAUUUUGAUGUCAGGUAGUGCAAUGCCUCCAGCUUUAUUUUUUUUUGCUCAAGAUGCCUUUGGUUAUUUGAGGUCUUUUGUGGUUCUAUACAAGUUUUAGGAUUGUUUUUUCUUUGCUGUGAAAAAUGACUUUGAAAUUUUGAUAGAGCUUGCAUUGAAUCUGUACAUCACUUUGGGUAGUAUGGACAUUUUAACAAUAUUAAUUCCCAAUCCAUGAACACAAAAACAUUUCCAUUUCCAGUCAUGCACUCCAUAAUGACAUUUCAGUUAGACAAUGAACUGCAUAGACAAAAGUGGUCUCCUAAGAUUAUAAUGGAGCUGAAAAAUCCCUGUUUCCUAGUGACAUCUUGAUGAUCCUGACCCUGUGUAGAUAACUAGGCUAAUGUGUGUGUGUGUCUCCUAGUUUUUAAGAAAAAAGUUUAAAAAGUAAAAAAAAAAAAAAAAAAAACUAGAAAAAGCUUAAAGAAUAAGUAUAUAAAGAAAGAAAAUAUUUUUGUACCUUGUAUAAUGUGUAUUUUACACUAUUAUCACAAAAGAGUCAAAAAGUUAAUAAAAUUAAAAAUUUUAUGAAGUAAAAAUGUUGCCAUAAUGCUAAGGUUAAUUUAUUAUUGAAUAAAAAAUGUUUUAACCUAAAUUUAGGGCAACCUAAGUGUUCAGUGUUUAUAAAGUCUGCAGUAGUGUACAGUAAUGUCCUAGGCCUUCACAUUUAUUCAGCAUUUACUCACUGACUCACCCAGAGCAACUUCCAGUCUGCAAGUUCCAUUCCUGCUAAGGGC
RNAcentral lists this long non-coding RNA (14084 nucleotides) under Homo sapiens (human). RNAcentral's name for it is "HSALNT0276422". The record is from RNAcentral. Lineage: Eukaryota; Metazoa; Chordata; Mammalia; Primates; Hominidae.